This 467-nucleotide ribosomal RNA is filed under the name uncultured bacterium. RNAcentral's name for it is "partial 16S ribosomal RNA". It matches the Rfam family "Bacterial small subunit ribosomal RNA", at positions 28 to 507 of the family's 1533-position model. The record is from RNAcentral.
GACGAACGCUGGCGGCGUGCUUAACACAUGCAAGUCGAACGGAAAGGCCUCUUUCGGGGGGUACUCGAGUGGCGAACGGGUGAGUAACACAUGAGUAACCUGCCCUUGACUUUGGGAUAACUUCAGUAAACUGGGGCUAAUACCGGAUAGGAGCUCCUGCUGCCUGGUGGGGGUUGGAAAGUUUCGGGGGGUGGGGGUGGGCUCGCGGCUUAUCGGCUUGUUGGUGGGGUGAUGGCUUACCAAGGGUUUAGCGGGAAGCCGGCCUGGGAGGGUGACCGGCCACACUGGGACUGAGGUACGGCACAGGCCCCUACGGGAGGCAGCAGGGGGGAAGAUUGCACAAUGGGUGGAAGGCGGAUGCAGCAACGCCGUGGGCGGGAUGACGGCCUUCGGGUUGUAAACCGCUUUCGCUCAUGACGAAGCUUUGUGUGACGGUAGUGGGUAAAGAAGCACCGGCUAACUACGUG